UGGGGAAUAUUGGACAAUGGGCGGAAGCCUGAUCCAGCCAUGCCGCGUGUGUGAAGAAGGCCUUUUGGUUGUAAAGCACUUUAAGCGAGGAGGAGGCUACUUGGAUUAAUACUCUAGGAUAGUGGACGUUACUCGCAGAAUAAGCACCGGCUAACUCUGUGCCAGCAGCCGCGGUAAUACAGAGGGUUCGAGCGUUAAUCGGAUUUACUGGGCGUAAAGCGUGCGUAGGCGGCUUCUUAAGUCGGAUGUGAAAUCCUUGAGCUUAACUUAGGAAUUGCAUUCGAUACUGGGAAGCUAGAGUAUGGGAGAGGAUGGUAGAAUUCCAGGUGUAGCGGUGAAAUGCGUAGAGAUCUGGAGGAAUACCGAUGGCGAAGGCAGCCAUCUGGCCUAAUACUGACGCUGAGGUACGAAAGCAUGGGGAGAAAACAGG
RNAcentral lists this ribosomal RNA (430 nucleotides) under Acidobacteriota bacterium. RNAcentral describes it as "Acidobacteria bacterium partial 16S ribosomal RNA". It matches the Rfam family "Bacterial small subunit ribosomal RNA", at positions 355 to 776 of the family's 1533-position model. The record is from RNAcentral. Lineage: Bacteria; Pseudomonadati; Acidobacteriota.